Molecule: long non-coding RNA, 3228 nt
Organism: Xiphophorus couchianus (Monterrey platyfish)
Lineage: Eukaryota; Metazoa; Chordata; Actinopteri; Cyprinodontiformes; Poeciliidae
Exons: 3
Source: RefSeq, a predicted model, not a curated record
CCUGCUGCCACACCGGCAGAGACGAUGGUAGCUAGCAGGCAGAGACGAUGGUAGCUAGCAGGCAGAGACGAUGGUAGCUAGCAGGCAGAGACAGUGGUAGCUAACAGACAUAGACGAUGUUAGCUAGCAGGCAGAGACGAUGGUAGCUAGCAGGCAGAGACGAUGGUAGCUAGCAUGCAGUCACGAUGGUAGCUAACAAGGAGAGACGAUGGUUGGUAGCAGGCAGAGACGGUGGUAGCUAGCAUGCAGUCACGAUGGUAGCUAACAAGGAGAGACGAUGGUAGCUUGCCGGCAGAGACGAUGGUAGCUAGCAUGCAGUCACGAUGGUAGCUAACAAGGAGAGACGAUGGUAGCUUGCCGGCAGAGACGAUGGUAGCUAGCAUGCAGUCACGAUGGUAGCUAACAAGGAGAGACGAUGGUUGGUAGCAGGCAGAGACGAUGGUAGCUAGCAUGCAGUCACGAUGGUAGCUAACAAGGAGAGACGAUGGUAGCUUGCCGGCAGAGACGAUGGUAGCUAGCAUGCAGUCACGAUGGUAGCUAACAAGGAGAGACGAUGGUUGGUAGCAGGCAGAGACGGUGGUAGCUAACAGACAUAGACAAUGGUAGCUUGCCGGCAGAGACGAUGGUAGCUAGCAGACAGAGACGAUGGUAGCUAGCAGGCAGAGACGAUGGUAGCUAGCAGAGGGAGACGAUGGCCUAAUGUAGCCGGGGCAUCUUGUCCCGGAAUGAUGUGCUGCGCACUCUUCCUCUUGCCCAUAUAUGGAAGACGCAGUGACAGAGGACAGCUGCUUUGUUAGCGAGACAGGUAAUCAGCAUUUAAAGGCAGGUAGAUCUCUGAGGAGAUCAGAUCCCAGGCUGAUGAUUCCUGCAGAGGCAAGAUACUGGUCUGCUCCCAGUGCCUCUGUGGCAGCAUUUAAUAACCUGCUGCUGGGAACUAUGGUUCUAUAGAAUAUACUACUAUUAUUAAUGAUGAUGAUGAUUCUAGAUGCUGCAGCAGAUAUUGGCUAAACAAACCCAGAGAUGCCAGAGGUCCACAGCAGGCUGGACUUCCUGCUCUGCUCACUUCAUUUCUAACUCACUUCCUGCUUGGUGGAAGAUCUCAAGGAGCCAAACGGCCUAGUCCAAGUCCGAGCUGUGAGCAGUUCCUCCUCCUCUCCGUCAUCUCCAGUAGUUUCCUUCAUCAGCUCAGUCAGCCUCUUCAUCAGCUGCUUCAGCUCCUUUGAGGCUCUGAUGCUGCAGCUCCAUCAGAUGCUGCAGAGAAAACUGAACUUUCCUUCACAGAUGAUAGAAGAUCUUCAACAUCUGACUGCAGCUGAAGGUCUGAGGACAUGAAGCCUGGACCAGAACCAGAACCAGAACCUGGACUUUAACCAGGACCUGCACAGAUUCUCUGUGGGGUCAAACUCAGUAAAUUGAAGAUCAGAUGUUGAUCAGAUGAUGACAUCACUGUUAUCAUAUUUUAGUCUGUUUAUGAUCCAGAUUGAUUUCAUUAGAACUGAAUUUAUUUCUUCUCUAAUCACAGACUUGGUGGCUGUUGGAUCCAAAAGGCUGAAUGUGAAGUUUUGGCCUCGGCUCUGAAGUCCAACCCAGAUCUGACUGAACUGGAAAUAAGUGACAUCAUACUGGGAGGUGAAACCUUUGGAGACUCUGAUCUGAAGCCUCUGGUUGAGAUCCUGGAGAGUUCAGUCAGUAAAGUGAAGAAACUGAGAUUGUUUUACUGCAGGUUGACAAAGAUCAGCUGUGAUUAUUUGGCCUCAACUCUGAAGUCCAACCCGACCCGUCUGACAAAACUGGACCUGAGAUUGAACAACCUGAAGGAUUCAGAUGUUCAGCAGCUGAAGGAUCUUGUAGAGACUGUUGGAGGACAGAUUGGUGAUCUGUGCAAAGUAGAAAAUGGUCUCUGUGUCCUGCUGAUCCUCAGAGGUUGAAGCUGCAGCAGUUUGAGUCUAAAGAGACUCUGACUGGAUCAUGAUGAUGACCUCUGACCUCCAAGAUUUCCCUCCUGUUUAUUUUCUCAUGUCUGAUAUUGUUUGUCUCUUUGGAUCAAUAAAGAUCCAAUUCAAACUGGGCUCCAUUUAGAGGCUUCAUGGAGUUUUGAUCUGAACUGGAUUCAACUGGAAAGUUGAUCUUUUUUCUCUCUGAUUCAUUUUCAUCCUGGAACCAGAAAUAUUAAUUAAUAUUAUUAUUAAUAUUAACAGUUUCCAGGCUGCAUUUGCUUCAUCCUGAUUCAGUUUCUGGACGUUUUCAUCUUAUUAGAUGUUUUUUGCAGAUAUUUGCGUCAUGAAGCUCAUUUUAUCUGCAAACAGGUCAAUGAGUCAUUGAUGGUUUAUUCAAUCAGAGAAUGAAGAUUUUCUUCAUGAUUUUAAAUCAAAUAGUUUUAUUUCUGUCUUUCUGAAGGUCAAAUCUAAAUCUUAAUAAAGAUAAAGUUUCAUCUGCUGCAGCUUUACCUUUGGUAGCAUUGGAAACACUUUUCAGAGACUUUCAGAUCUGCUUUGAAGGAUCUUCUCUGUUCUUCCUGCAGAACUUCAUAGAAAUGUUUCUCCAUCUAAAUGUUGCCCUCAGUCAGAAAACUCUUUCCUCUAAACUAGAUCUCAACUUCCUGGUUCCUUCCUUCCUCUACAAAGAUCCUCUGUUCAUGUUCAUAUCUUCAUCUUGACUCCAUUUUCUUUUGUCCUCCAAUGAAACGUCUUCUUGUUCUUGUAGAUUUUCUUUUUCAGUCAAUAAAAAUGGCUUUAAAUUUCCACUGAGAAGGUUCUUCUGCUGUGUUAUUUCAUGAACAGCAGCAUCUUUCCUUCAGUUAAUUAAUAUUUGCUCAGUUUUAUAAUUAAUCUCAUUCAUCUUUAAACUAGUCUGAAGGAUUUUAGUGUGUAUCUACAGGCUUUGACCACAGGAUGGCGGUAGAGAGCGAGCCUGGUAAAGACAGAAACAGAAAAUCUUUUAUUUACUACAGUUGGCUAAUAUUUUAAAAAUUAUCCACAAUUAAUAUUUCUGCGAGAAUUUUAAUUAAAUGAGUUUUUCAGUUACUACAUUUCUAUAGAGACAAAUAUGUCAAAUAUGAUAAUGAGAUUAAUUUCCAGUAUUCUGCUUGUAUUCAUAUUCUUCCCAUGGAAACCAAAGAUAAUAACUUUACACCUUAGUGAAAAUGUUGUAUCAAAAUGACAAAUUAUAAAGUGAAAUUUCUUUGUGCCAUGACAAGAUCAUAAUAAAUGAUUGUUUUCAAAACUUACA